AGGGAAUCUUCCACAAUGGACGCAAGUCUGAUGGAGCAACGCCGCGUGAGUGAAGAAGGUUUUCGGACCGUAAAGCUCUGUUGUUGGUGAAGAAGGAUAGAGGCAGUAACUGGUCUUUAUUUGACGGUAAUCAACCAGAAAGUCACGGCUAACUACGUGCCAGCAGCCGCGGUAAUACGUAGGUGGCAAGCGUUGUCCGGAUUUAUUGGGCGUAAAGCGAGCGCAGGCGGAAUGAUAAGUCUGAUGUGAAAGCCCACGGCUCAACCGUGGAACUGCAUCGGAAACUGUCAUUCUUGAGUGCAGAAGAGGAGAGUGGAACUCCAUGUGUAGCGGUGGAAUGCGUAGAUAUAUGGAAGAACACCAGUGGCGAAGGCGGCUCUCUGGUCUGCAACUGACGCUGAGGCUCGAAAGCAUGGGUAGCGAACAGGAUUAGAUACCCUGGUAGUCCAUGCCGUAAACGAUGAGCGCUAGGUGUUGGGGACUUUCCGGUUCUCAGUGCCGCAGCAAACGCGUUAAGCGCUCCGCCUGGGGGAGUACGACCGCAAGGUUGAAAC
This 554-nucleotide ribosomal RNA is filed under the name uncultured bacterium. RNAcentral's name for it is "partial 16S ribosomal RNA". It matches the Rfam family "Bacterial small subunit ribosomal RNA", at positions 356 to 900 of the family's 1533-position model. The record is from RNAcentral.